ACCGAGGUCUAUCCCCAUGAGGCUUUCCUGUAGACCCACGUCACUGAAAAUGCCUCAUUGAGUAAUGAUGUGGUUUACUUUCCUAACAGAAUUAUUUUUUAGGUCUGUGGGAAAGAACUAUAAGACACAG
Molecule: small nucleolar RNA, 130 nt
Organism: Neogale vison (American mink)
Lineage: Eukaryota; Metazoa; Chordata; Mammalia; Carnivora; Mustelidae
Source: Ensembl